This is a long non-coding RNA of Haplochromis burtoni (Burton's mouthbrooder), 222 nucleotides long. RefSeq lists it as uncharacterized. NCBI's taxonomy places the organism in Eukaryota, Metazoa, Chordata, Actinopteri, Cichliformes, Cichlidae. The transcript is spliced from 2 exons. The record is from RefSeq and is a predicted model, not a curated record.
AAAGCUCCAGUGCAGUCAGAAUAAUCCAAGAGAGGGCAGGGUCAAACUCCCGCCUCUAGCUACACCUGUAGAGAGCCUGUCCCACAGCUUUAGUCUGCUGUCUUCAGACGACUGGAUUAAGAAAAGACAGGGGUUGCAAACUAUUCAGUCUCUGGCAAAGCACCACUCGGACAUCCUGAAGACUAAACUGCAUGAAGUGUGUCUGGUCCUCAUUGAGGAGGU